CACCUUUUUGGGCCAAAUCCUGUGAUCCACACUCUGCAAGGCUGAAGAAGCAGACCUUUCUCUGGGGGUUGAAGGAUGCUGCACAGUACUAACCCCCAUUCCGCAGGGGGGUUACUUUCUUUGCUGAGGAUCUGUAGCUCUGAACUGGCUGAAACUCACUGCUAUCCUUAGCUUCCAGCCCUGGCAGCAGGAGGAAAUGCUACAAAACUCAGAAGCUGACUGCUCUAUGGAGAAAGAGUGUUUUCAGUUUUCUACUUCCGAAAAGAAACAAUCAGGGGUUUCAUCUAGAAAAGAGGAAGACAAGCACUGAAGUCUACUGUAAUCUUUGACAAGCUCAGAGCUGAAGAAGGAUCACAGAACUACAGAAUUUCAGGGAUUGGAAGUGACCUCUAGAGAUGACCAAGUCCAACCCACUGCUCAAGCAGCUUCCCUACAGUAAGUAGGUCUCACAGGGCUUCGAAGUCACUCUUUGUUCUGGGUGCCCCAUUCUGGCGGUGGAUCAGGAAAGGAAGUUACUGUCAUUUGGACCACUGCUUUAUCUGUCUUAGCACUGGUACCCACUGGAAGCAUCCAGGAGAAUGCAAAAGGUGAAUCUAAUGCUCUGAGGACAAAGCGCUCCAGAAAGUCACGCGAAGAAAAAGCUCCCAGGAGUCUUCAUUAAGCUUCAGAAACAGCAAGUCCUGCAGCCAGGCUGGUCUUGCCAGAAGGAAGAGGCUGAAAUUACUAACAAAAAAUCUGAUCAUGGUUUCUAAUUGAUUCAGCCUCUCCUCAAUUCUUUUUUCUUUGUGAGUCUUUGGAUUCUGAUUUGUUUUGUGUGUUUGUUUGUUUUUUGUUUGUUUGUUUUGUUUUUUUAAUUACUGUGGUAUCUACUUCAGUAUCAGCUUCUUUACUACCUCAGUUGUAGAACUGCAUACUUAAAUGUUCAAGUUAAAUCGCCUCUAUAUCAGCACAGCACAGACAAGAUAGGGGCCUGUGGCAUGUACAGAAGUGCAGUGGUCAGGAUAUAACUGAUAUUAUUGUGCCUUCAUUAUGAAUGAUAAAAUGGUGUAGUUAACAACAGCAUACAAGACAAACACAAAGACCUAGGAAUAGGUAGGACAAGCAGCAUUAAUAGCAAGACAAAAGCAAAUGAGAUAAGCAGUAUAGGAACAAAGCCCCUUUUUGGAGAGGGGCAGCAGUGUAAAAACAUUAGGAAUAAACAAAAGCCCCAAAUUCUCCUACUCUCAGAUCUGAUCUUGGUGACUGAGUGAUGAGGGACCACUUCCAAACUAUUAGCUCCACGGUACUGUGCCAUCACAGCUAAUUUAGGCUAUGACUGUAAAGGACUAAGAGUUUUCUCCAUGUAGUAAUGAUGGUUAAUAUUGUGUAAGAAUUGCCCAUUAGCAAGUGUAUUGCUAAUGAACGAAUUUAGCAGGCAAUUUAUCUGAAGAGUUUAAGGUUGGCCUGAUUUGUCAGCCUCCUAAACACUCCUAUCACAGAGAUCUUUAACAGCCUAGCUAAUACAAAGGUGUACUCAGAUGUAAAGGUAGGACCUACCUAAGCUGCUGCUGAACCUUGUGUUAGCUAUAUAUAAGUACAGUUUUAUUUGCACACUAAAAGCUGCAGUGUAGCCAGUAGCAACCUGUGAACUGCCCAGUGUUAUUAUUUCUGCCCCUUGUUUAGAACCUGAAAGACUUGAAAGGUGAAACACCAACUGCUGGGGCAGGAGGUCAUUUGCUUGAUAGUUUCAUGCACUAAGAGUCCUGUUUUCAAGCUCUUCCAACUACAGUAGAUGCAUAUUUACUUUUCAGUUAAAGUGGAGUUUUCUUGUUUGUUAAAGUGACUUCAGGUGAUGGAGCUGCAAGGAGGAAUUCAAACACGCUGUGAUCAUCAUUGUAAAUCACAUGUAUUGGCAAGUCUAUUCCAACUAAAAACCCAAUUUAUUAAAGAUUUAAACUGUUCUUUGACUGACAAUGAGAUUACAAUCAUGUUACAUUUUUAAUCUCUUUUAACGAGGGCAAGGAAUUUAAGCAAUCCACAGACUCAGCCUCAGAAUGAAGACAAUCCUUCUUUAUUUCAGACUCAGCAAAGCAUUUUUCAGACUCAGUCUUUUAUGCUGGGAGCUCACAGAUCAGCCCCCUCAUGCUGCCCUGCCUACCAGCUUGUCUGGAAACCUUGUUCUGCUGCACUGCAAUUAAGCACAGAACUUUUUCUCAUGCUCAAGGUGAACUCGAUGUUGCUAAAGAUGUUUUGGCCCCAGUUCUCCAUCAAAGUAACUAUAAGCAACUGUAGCACACCUUCAACAUUUACAAGAGAAAAUUGAAUGAGAAGAAUGCUAUUUAUUAUGCUUGUGUAAAGGCCAGCUUGAGCUAUAAUUAGGCAGCGCUCAGCUGGAUGUGGAGGAGGUCCCUGAGCUGUAAUAUAAUAUCUGUGUGGUAUAAGAGUAGAAACAAAUCUAUAAUGCCAGCCCACAAAGCAAAUAAAACUGAGAAUAAAAUUGAGCAAUUAAGAAUAAAUAAAUGCAGGACUGCAACCUGCAUCAGAUUUCCAAACCACAUUUUAGCCCAAUGCUUCCUUUUAGCUGACAGAUGACCUCCUUCCAUGUUUGAAUGUUUCUGUCACAGAUAAGAGAGAGAAGGAAAGACAGAGACAGUUGGGGUGGCUCUGGGAGAGCUGAGGCCACACCAAGGUGUCAUGAAGCACUGAGGGCGCUGGCGGAAGCACGGUCACCCUUGGAAGGAGGGAGUAUGGCAGUGCAGAGUCCUGCAGGUCCAUCCCAGCUGCCCAGCACCGUCCCUCCUUCCCAGGAAAUUUACUUCCAGCCAACAGCACCACAAAAUCUGCACACUGCUGCUUGGUGUGAUUUCAACCAGAUGUGAGUAGCUCCAAAGUUCAUAAAUGGGUUCAGAGAAGAUGGGAAUUAAGGAGAGCACCAAGGAGAAGCCCCGUUCUAAGCACCUGCACCUCCUGGUGGCCCUCUGGUUACUCACUGAUGUCCUGCUCCCUGGA
This is a non-coding RNA of Meleagris gallopavo (turkey), 2988 nucleotides long. The record is from RefSeq and is a predicted model, not a curated record. Lineage: Eukaryota; Metazoa; Chordata; Aves; Galliformes; Phasianidae.